UGAUCCAGAGUACCACGGGACACGUGAAACCCUGUGGGAAGCAGGAGGGACCACCCUCCAAGGCUAAAUACUACCUAGUGACCGAUAGCGUAUAGUACCGUGAGGGAAAGGCGAAAAGAACCCCGGGAGGGGAGUGAAAUAGAACCUGAAACCCUGCACUUACAAGCUGUGGAAGCACAUUUCUUGUGUGACCGCGUACUUUUUGUAGAACGGGCCAACGAGUUACGUUAAGUAGCAAGGUUAAGCACUUAAGGUGCGGAGCCGUAGCGAAAGCGAGUUUUAACUGAGCGUU
RNAcentral lists this ribosomal RNA (292 nucleotides) under Clostridioides difficile. RNAcentral's name for it is "partial 23S ribosomal RNA". It matches the Rfam family "Bacterial large subunit ribosomal RNA", at positions 403 to 696 of the family's 2925-position model. Lineage: Bacteria; Bacillati; Bacillota; Clostridia; Peptostreptococcales; Peptostreptococcaceae. The record is from RNAcentral.